ACGAACGCUGGCGGCAGGCCUAACACAUGCAAGUCGAGCGCUACCUUCGGGUGGAGCGGCGGACGGGUUAGUAACGCGUGGGAAUAUACCCAGUUCUAAGGAAUAGCCACUGGAAACGGUGAGUAAUACCAUAUACGCCCUUCGGGGGAAAGAUUUAUCGGUGAAGGAUUAGCCCGCGUAAGAUUAGAUAGUUGGUGGGGUAAUGGCCUACCAAGUCUACGAUCUUUAGCUGGUUUUAGAGGAUGAUCAGCAACACUGGGACUGAGACACGGCCCAGACUCCUACGGGAGGCAGCAGUGGGGAAUCUUAG
Molecule: ribosomal RNA, 310 nt
Filed under: uncultured Rhodobacterales bacterium
Lineage: Bacteria; Pseudomonadati; Pseudomonadota; Alphaproteobacteria; Rhodobacterales
Description: SSU rRNA
Rfam family: Bacterial small subunit ribosomal RNA
Source: RNAcentral